CAGCCCUUGACAUGUCCGUCGCGGGCCCCUGAGAGGGGGUCCUUCGGUUCGGCCGGACGGAACACAGGUGCAUGCAUGGCUGUCGUCAGCUCGUGUCGUGAGAUGUUGGGUUAAGUCCCGCAACGAGCGCAACCCUUAUCGUUAGUUGCCAUCGGGUUAUUCCGGGCACUCUAGGGAAACCGCCGGUGACAAGCCGGAGGAAGGCGGGGAUGACGUCAAGUCUUCAUGGCCCUUAUGGGCUGGGCUACACACGUGCUACAAUGGCGGUGACAGUGGGCAGAGAAGGGGCGACCCGGAGCCAAUCCCCAAAAGCCGUCUCAGUUCGGAUUGCACUUUGCAACUCGGGUGCAUGAAGUCGGAAUCGCUAGUAAUCGCGGAUCAGCACGCCGCGGUGAAUACGUUCCCGGGCCUUGUACACCCCGCCCGUCACACCAUGGGAGUUGGUUCUACCUGAAGCCGGUGCGCCAACCGCAAGGAGGCAGCCGACCACGGUAGGGUCAGCGACUGGGGUG
Molecule: ribosomal RNA, 512 nt
Filed under: uncultured bacterium
Lineage: Bacteria
Description: bacterial SSU rRNA
Rfam family: Bacterial small subunit ribosomal RNA
Source: RNAcentral